UUCUCUAAAUAAUUUUUUUUGAAUAAUUAGAAUAUUUAAUCAAUUUAUGUUCGGGUUUGGUACUAUAUUUUUGGAUCGGUAUCGGUUAUGUUCAUCGGAUUCAUUUUUUCAAAUCCUAAUAAUUACAUGAAAAACAAAUAUCAACAUAUUUUUUAAAAUAUACACCCGCGCAGGCGCGCGGGUCAAAGUCUAGUACUUCAUUAUAAACAAACAAUCCUAACUAUAACCGUAAAAAAAAACCCAACCCAAAAUAGAUUUUGUUGAAUUUGAUCACUCAUGAAUCUUGAUAUCAUCUCAUCCUCUACGUUGUUAUACUUGUAUUUAUACAUGGAUGUUUUGCUAUAUAAAUGAGUCAAUACAAAUAGUGAAAUUACAAUUUUUCUGUUUUUAGUACCCAAGUGUAUCACAAAACAUACAAUUAUUAAAGUUUGUAUUUCAAGCGGUAUAUACACAAUACACAAUAACAUACAUGUAAUGAUAAUAGUGAAAUUUCAAAGAAAAAACUGUGGGGCGAAGGUGAUACGGUUGGUCAUCAAAGGUGAGGAGGUGGUGGAAGAUCCGGCGGAGAAAGAAGGCGACGUCCGGAGAGCUGUCGUGAUCGCUGAGGCUAGGCUCAUCAGCACGAAGAUGAGCUCUUCAAGUAUGCUCAGCGUCUUCCUCAUCAUCGAAAUUCUGUGUGUUUCUCAAACUUGAGAUUCAGAAGUUUAUGAGAGAGAGAGAAAAGGCAGGUGUGAUCUCUUCAGCUCACUUUUGAUUUGGCCCUUGAUGUUAUUCAAACAUAUGAACUGUUCGCUUUAUGUUCAUGUCCUUUAAUGAUUAUUUAAUGGGACAAUUGCAAAUUAAAAAGUAGUGGAAGGAUGCAAUCACGGUAAAAAAAAGCCACAACACACAGUCAACAAGUCAAGGUUGACAGAGUUUAUGGAUUUAAUUAUAGACAACUCGCGCAAUGACGUAACUACUUAGCUCAUAAAAACACAUUCAUGAAUCAUUUAGUAGUAACUCUGUCUCGUUACUCUGUACUGAAACUACAAGUCACAAAGAAAUUAUAGUAAACUCGGAUGUAAAGGAUCAUACACUAGUAAUUAGACUAAUUACUAAUUAUACCUAUUACCUAUAUAUAACCAUGUUUGUCAUGGUCGAUCUACUACUUGUGAUGAACAUUUUAAAUCUUUGCAAAAGUUCAUUCAAAUUUUAAAACUCAAAUGAUGCAACAGAAGUUCAAGAAACGGCACCAAGACACGCGUUUUAAACUUCAAUCACAAUAUGAAAACAGGAUGUGUAGCUCUGGUUUUGUGUUUGAACAUUACUGUUGAUCCGCCUGAUGUUAUAAAGAUAUCUCCGUGUGCUAGAAUCGAGGCUUGGAUAGGUUGAACCAUUUUCCCAACCCAACCCUAUUGCAUUCUUUCUUUUGUGUGUUUAUCUUUUUUUUUCCAAUUUGUUUCAUGUGUAAAAAAAUGGUAAAGGUCAUGGUGGGAAAAAAAAGUUAGCAUUCAUUGAUAUUAUCACAAAGGAUAGUACAUUAAAAAAGUUGUGUGAUGUUUUCACUUGUAUGUUGUAUUUUGUUCAAGUUAAUCUCAAUCAGUUUGCAUUUUCA
Brassica rapa (field mustard) is the source of this 1594-nucleotide long non-coding RNA. RefSeq lists it as uncharacterized. Lineage: Eukaryota; Viridiplantae; Streptophyta; Magnoliopsida; Brassicales; Brassicaceae. The record is from RefSeq and is a predicted model, not a curated record.